RNAcentral lists this microRNA (21 nucleotides) under Medicago truncatula (barrel medic). RNAcentral describes it as "mtr-miR2600a". The record is from miRBase by way of RNAcentral. Lineage: Eukaryota; Viridiplantae; Streptophyta; Magnoliopsida; Fabales; Fabaceae.
ACAUUAGCCAAUCACAAUGCC